RNAcentral lists this ribosomal RNA (433 nucleotides) under uncultured bacterium. RNAcentral describes it as "partial 16S ribosomal RNA". It matches the Rfam family "Bacterial small subunit ribosomal RNA", at positions 29 to 507 of the family's 1533-position model. The record is from RNAcentral.
AACGAACGCUGGCGGCAUGCCUAACACAUGCAAGUCGAACGAGACCUUCGGGUCUAGUGGCGCACGGGUGCGUAACGCGUGGGAACCUGCCCUUAGGUUCGGAAUAACUCCCCGAAAGGGGUGCUAAUACCGGAUAAUGUCCUCUGACCAAAGAUUUAUCGCCUUUGGAUGGGCCCGCGUUGGAUUAGCUAGUUGGUAGGGUAAAAGCCUACCAAGGCGACGAUCCAUAGCUGGUCUGAGAGGAUGAUCAGCCACACUGGGACUGAGACACGGCCCAGACUCCUACGGGAGGCAGCAGUGGGGAAUAUUGGACAAUGGGCGAAAGCCUGAUCCAGCAAUGCCGCGUGAGUGAUGAAGGCCUUAGGGUUGUAAAGCUCUUUUACCCGGGAUGAUAAUGACAGUACCGGGAGAAUAAGCUCCGGCUAACUCCGUG